AGGAAGACCCUGGCCUCCAUCUUGAAAACGGAAAAUAAAAACAGCAGACCUAUGAAGGUCGAAGGGGAAGAAAAGCUGUAUCGAUUGUUGAGAUCUGGCGACUUGUUUAAAUUUCAUCAGCCUCACUUCUAUGAACUCUCAGGGUCCUCGUAAGGAUUUCCAUUUUAUGUUCUUGUCUUCUCAUCAGUUUGAGUUGUGUCUUUAACAUUGGAGAGAAAAACAACUUGCAAGAUUUUCUUUCAGUAUGAACCAUUCUGAGGUCCUUCAAUUCUUUAGCUGAUUACCAACUCCUACCACUGUUAACCCUCAUCCAGGAAAAAGCUUAUGUCUUUAACAUUCUGAGUGGGCUUCAGCAUCCUUGCAUAUGUUCAAUUCUUAAAAACCUGUUGAAAUAAAAGAUCAGGAGACAUAGGAAGGAUGCCAGAAGAGAGCGUGGCCUCAUGUGUACCAGCUCUCUGCUCUCCUUUGCCUUGGGACGUUCCAUCCCUGGAAGUUUCCCUGCCCACAUCUUUGUAGAGAGUCCAUUCUCCAAGCUUCAGUGUGUCAUCUGUGAGGACUGUGACCAACCUGGUACAUCGCCUCAGGGCAUUCAUUUCAGGCUCCUUCUAAAUGGUCAAGACAAAACACCAACAUUUUUGUAAUGGCCUGCAAGGCCUUCCGAGAUCUGCCUCCUGCAACUCAGCUUCUCCUGUGCUCUCCUUCUGGACUCACUCUGCCUCAGCAACACUGGUCCCUGUUGCCCCACCAAUAUACCAGGUAAACCUCAGGUUCUCCUCCUGCCUUUUGCUAAGUAUAUGUCUUGAUGACAAGCCUUCUGCUGAUGAGCUGUGUUUCUGG
RNAcentral lists this long non-coding RNA (837 nucleotides) under Pan troglodytes (chimpanzee). RNAcentral describes it as "lincRNA". Lineage: Eukaryota; Metazoa; Chordata; Mammalia; Primates; Hominidae. The record is from RNAcentral.